UGUAGAUGCAGGUGUAGUUAUAGGUGUAGAUGCAGGUGUAGUUAUAGGUGUAGAUGCAGGCGUAAGUGUAGAUGCAGGUGUAGUUAUAGGUGUAGAUGCAGGUGUAAGUGUAGAUGCAGGUGUAGUUAUAGGUGUAGAUGCAGGUGUAAGUGUAGAUGCAGGUGUAGUUAUAGGUGUAGAUGCAGAUGUAGUUAUAGGUGUAGAUGCAGGUGUAAGUGUAGAUGCAGG
Molecule: long non-coding RNA, 228 nt
Organism: Anguilla anguilla (European eel)
Lineage: Eukaryota; Metazoa; Chordata; Actinopteri; Anguilliformes; Anguillidae
Exons: 3
Source: RefSeq, a predicted model, not a curated record